This 528-nucleotide ribosomal RNA is filed under the name uncultured bacterium. RNAcentral's name for it is "bacterial SSU rRNA". It matches the Rfam family "Bacterial small subunit ribosomal RNA", at positions 777 to 1304 of the family's 1533-position model. The record is from RNAcentral.
AAUAGAUACCCGGGUAGUCCACGCCGUAAACGAUGAGUGCUAAGUGUUAGAGGGUUUCCGCCCUUUAGUGCUGCAGCUAACGCAUUAAGCACUCCGCCUGGGGAGUACGGCCGCAAGGCUGAAACUCAAAGGAAUUGACGGGGGCCCGCACAAGCGGUGGAGCAUGUGGUUUAAUUCGAAGCAACGCGAAGAACCUUACCAGGUCUUGACAUCCUCUGACAACCCUAGAGAUAGGGCUUUCCCCUUCGGGGGACAGAGUGACAGGUGGUGCAUGGUUGUCGUCAGCUCGUGUCGUGAGAUGUUGGGUUAAGUCCCGCAACGAGCGCAACCCUUGAUCUUAGUUGCCAGCAUUCAGUUGGGCACUCUAAGGUGACUGCCGGUGACAAACCGGAGGAAGGUGGGGAUGACGUCAAAUCAUCAUGCCCCUUAUGACCUGGGCUACACACGUGCUACAAUGGAUGGUACAAAGGGCUGCAAACCUGCGAAGGUAAGCGAAUCCAUAAAGCCAUUCUCAGUUCGGAUUGCAGG